Molecule: long non-coding RNA, 1980 nt
Organism: Peromyscus maniculatus bairdii (prairie deer mouse)
Lineage: Eukaryota; Metazoa; Chordata; Mammalia; Rodentia; Cricetidae
Source: RefSeq, a predicted model, not a curated record
GGGCGGAGUGAGGGUCGUCGGAACUCGGAGGAGCGGGGAGUCGGCGGUGGAUAUGAUCAAGAUACCUCCGAUGCGGGUGAUCCCUGUGAAGGGGUCGUUCAACACCCCAAGGGGUCGCUACCCACAGGUUGAGAACUGUUGAUGUAGCCCAACUUCAUACCUGCGCAUGUGCACUUCAAGCCCGCUGCUCUUUCCACCGCCAAACGCUUCCCAGAGCGCCACCCCACCUCCAGCAGUACUGAAGGUCUUUGGGUUUUCAUACGUGGUGCUAGGACUUGAGCCCAGGGCCUCGUGCAUGCAGAUCCGCUCGUGGCUUCUCUCUCCUGCUGUGAUCCACACUGCCACAGGACAUUUGCUAGGUACUGGAUUCCCUAAGAGCAGAAAUGCAGGAACAGGACCUGAGCCAAGGCAAGGCAACCAGGCACCUAACUUGGGAAGCUGGGUGUCAAGUGGAAGAUGAUAUCAUAUGCCAGAUGAUGAGUAAAGAAACUGGAGCACUGAGAGAUGAAGCGACUUCCAACCAUGGUAGUGAAUCAACAUCGCCUUCCCCGGCUCUACCCUGGCUCUGCUAACUGUUGACUUUGUCCAUUUCUUGGAAUCUGUUUCCUGCUUGUACACACACAAAGCACAGGCCCCAAAGAACAUUCCUAAGCUGAGCAAACUUGACCUGGAUUCCCACAGACAACAUUAGCUACCCUAUAUAACAUUUCAGCAGAAAGCUAGAUAUGCUACCAAAACCCAGUCGACAUCCUUAAGUAUAUCUCUAAAUGACUCUAACAUUAGUAUUUCGGCAACAAGGAAAAACACACGAAACUGUCCUUGGACUUCAUACCAAUGGGUGAAACUGCCAAACUUCACACAGAGCAAGCAGGUGGUGCCGUCUACGUGCUGCGUUUGACAGCCUGAAUGGGACCUCCCUCCUACAUGGCAUCAGUUGUGCUAAGGUCUUGGGACCUGUGACAAGAUAAAGUUAAGGAUCUAGAGAUGGGGGAGAUUGUCUGGGCUUAUCUGAGUGGACCCUCAAGGCAAACAAAGCGUCCUUGUAAGAAAGGAGCUGGGGGAAAGGGCCGGAAAUGAUGGUGGGUAAAGCACCUGUCACACAGGUCUGACAGCUUGAGUUUGAUCCCCUCAGCCCCCCGAACCCACAGAAAGGUGGCAGGAGAGAACUGACUUCACAAGUUUAUCCUCUGGCCUCUGCAUGCAUGCCCCGCCCCCCUCCCCUGAGCACGUGCGCACUCGCACACGCGAACACACACACACACACACACACACUAAUAAAAUCAGAAAGGGCCAGUGCCAGAUGUGGUGACACAGGCCCUGUACUUCCUGAUUUAACCCCAAGAAGAGUCCUAGUGUGAGUCCUGCUGCCUGGGCAACUAUGAAAGAUUCUGUAAAUAAGUAAGUGAGUGAAUGAAUGAAUGAAUGAAUGAAAGAGGCUCGUGGUAGAAUGCUUGCCUAGCAUGUAUGACACCCCUCCCUAGAACUGCAGAGAAAUGGGGGUAAAGGAAGAUUUCGUAGCGUGUCCCCAAUGACAGUUGCAUUUCUGUCCAGUGACAGAUUUCCGGUCUGCAGAGCUAACGAUGAGAGAAUCCAUGUAGAUGGUUUUCAGUCACCCAGUUGGUGGGGGUUGGUGGUAACAGCCAGAGACUUACGCUGGGGUUGGACUAAUGGCCUUGUAGUCAGAGUGGGUGUGCUGUCCUAGUGAAUGAUUAUUAAUUGAAUCAGCAGUUUCAGGGGCACAGAAAGUAAUGAUGAGCCAGUUAUGUGUGGAGGACCCCAAUUUUUAGCAGCUGCCAAAUUCUGUACCAAAAAAAAAAAAAAAAAAUUCCAUCAUGGCCUGAUUUAGAUUUGCUUUUCAAUUUGUGAAAAGUCUCCUUCACACAAUAUAUUUUAUCAUGUUUUCUCCUCCUCAAAUUCCUCUCAGAUCCUCCCCACCUCCCUACACACCCAACUUUACACUCUUGUUCUCUCCCUCCCGCC